AUUGAACGCUGGCGGCAGGCCUAACACAUGCAAGUCGAGCGGAUGAAGGGAGCUUGCUCCUGGAUUCAGCGGCGGACGGGUGAGUAAUGCCUAGGAAUCUGCCUGGUAGUGGGGGAUAACGUCCGGAAACGGGCGCUAAUACCGCAUACGUCCUGAGGGAGAAAGUGGGGGAUCUUCGGACCUCACGCUAUCAGAUGAGCCUAGGUCGGAUUAGCUAGUUGGUGGGGUAAAGGCCUACCAAGGCGACGAUCCGUAACUGGUCUGAGAGGAUGAUCAGUCACACUGGAACUGGGACACGGUCCAGCCUCCUACGGGAGGCAGCAGUGGGGAAUAUUGGACAAUGGGCGAAAGCCUGCUCCAGCCAUGCCGCGUGUGUGAAGAAGGUCUUCGGAUUGUAAAGCACUUUAAGUUGGGAGGACGGGCAGUAAGUUAAUACCUUGCUGUUUUGACGUUACCAACAGAAUAAGCACCGGCUAACUUCGUG
This 484-nucleotide ribosomal RNA is filed under the name uncultured bacterium. RNAcentral describes it as "partial 16S ribosomal RNA". It matches the Rfam family "Bacterial small subunit ribosomal RNA", at positions 30 to 507 of the family's 1533-position model. The record is from RNAcentral.